This 604-nucleotide long non-coding RNA is filed under the name Strongylocentrotus purpuratus (purple sea urchin). Its description in RNAcentral is "uncharacterized LOC105442273". Lineage: Eukaryota; Metazoa; Echinodermata; Echinoidea; Camarodonta; Strongylocentrotidae. The record is from RNAcentral.
UAACACUAGAGGGCGUACUCGCUCAAAUUGCUGUGUGGACCUGGAGCUGUGGCCGCCAUUACUAAGGAGGGCAGAAAAACGAACGACCCAACAAGAUACUGUGCACAACAUACGUGGAAAAAAUUGGAGAAGCCAGGUCCGUGCGUUGCAUUUGGAUGUUCGAACCGAAGAAAGAAAGGGAACUGCAUAAUAUUUCACAAGAAUACACCCAAGAGAGGAAAGGAUGUUACACACCACAUCUCAUUCUUAGAGCUGUGCCUACUGUCUUUCCUGGACAUCCUCCCUAUAAACAGACCCAUGGCUCAAGACUCCCAGCAAAACCAUGUACAACAUCCAAAAGUGUUCCCGUGCCUCCAAAGAAACCCUAUGACAUUACAAAAGAACACGACUAUUCUUUUUCUGUCUGAGUUGAUUAGAAACUGAAUAUAACCAGACAGCAAGUGCAAGAUGCCAAGAAACAGCUUAAAGUGGUGAAACAAGGUAAACAGGAGAGAUGGAAAAACCAAGACUCUCUUGCAGGAAGUCCACGAAAGCAAGCUCAUUAGCCAGGAUCAGCUUGACCUACUUCAACACAACUUUGGAGAGAACGCAUUUUCAGGAAAAA